Molecule: ribosomal RNA, 231 nt
Filed under: uncultured bacterium
Lineage: Bacteria
Description: partial 16S ribosomal RNA
Rfam family: Bacterial small subunit ribosomal RNA
Source: RNAcentral
GAUCAUGGCUCAGGAUGAACGCUAGCUACAGGCUUAACACAUGCAAGUCGAGGGGCAGCAUGGUCUUAGCUUGCUAAGGUCGAUGGCGACCGGCGCACGGGUGAGUAACGCGUAUCCAACCUGCCUUACACUCUUGGAAAGCCUUCUGAAAGGGAGAUUAAUACAAGAUGUUAUCAUGAGUAAGCAUUUUCGCAUGAUUAAAGGUUUACCGGUGUAAGAUGGGGAUGCGUU